Molecule: ribosomal RNA, 448 nt
Filed under: uncultured bacterium
Lineage: Bacteria
Description: bacterial SSU rRNA
Rfam family: Bacterial small subunit ribosomal RNA
Source: RNAcentral
GACCAGACUCCUACGGGAGGCAGCAGUGAGGGAUAUUGGGCAAUGGGGGAAACCCUGACCCAGCGACGCCGCGUGAGGGAAGACGGUCUUCGGAUUGUAAACCUCUGUCUUUGGGGACGAAAAAGGACGGUACCCAAGGAGGAAGCUCCGGCUAACUACGUGCCAGCAGCCGCGGUAAUACGUAGGGAGCGAGCGUUGUCCGGAAUUACUGGGUGUAAAGGGAGCGUAGGCGGGGAUGCAAGUUGGGUGUCAAAACUACCGGCUCAACUGGUAGUCGCUCUCAAAACUGCAGCUCUUGAGUGAAGUAGAGGCAGGCGGAAUUCCUAGUGUAGCGGUGAAAUGCGUAGAUAUUAGGAGGAACACCAGUGGCGAAGGCGGCCUGCUGGACGAUAACUGACGUUGAGGCUCGAAAGCGUGGGGAGCAAACAGGAUUAGAUACCCCCGUAUA